RNAcentral lists this ribosomal RNA (255 nucleotides) under uncultured bacterium. Its description in RNAcentral is "partial 16S ribosomal RNA". It matches the Rfam family "Bacterial small subunit ribosomal RNA", at positions 524 to 777 of the family's 1533-position model. The record is from RNAcentral.
UACGAAGGGGGGCUAGCGUUGCUCGGAAUCACUGGGCGUAAAGGGUGCGUAGGCGGGUUUUUAAGUCAGAGGUGAAAUCCUGGAGCUCAACUCCAGAACUGCCUUUGAUACUGAAAGUCUUGAGUAUGGGAGAGGUGAGUGGAACUGCGAGUGUAGAGGUGAAAUUCGUAGAUAUUCGCAAGAACACCAAUGGCGAAGGCAGAUCUCUGGAACGCAACUGACGCUGAGACGCGAAAGCGUGGGGAGCAAACAGGG